Molecule: non-coding RNA, 30 nt
Filed under: Mus musculus (house mouse)
Lineage: Eukaryota; Metazoa; Chordata; Mammalia; Rodentia; Muridae
Source: RNAcentral
UAAAAUGUGCUUGUGAUGACAGCUUCUUGU